Molecule: ribosomal RNA, 254 nt
Filed under: Escherichia coli
Lineage: Bacteria; Pseudomonadati; Pseudomonadota; Gammaproteobacteria; Enterobacterales; Enterobacteriaceae
Description: partial 16S ribosomal RNA
Rfam family: Bacterial small subunit ribosomal RNA
Source: RNAcentral
CGAGUGGCGGACGGGUGAGUAAUGUCUGGGAAACUGCCUGAUGGAGGGGGAUAACUACUGGAAACGGUAGCUAAUACCGCAUAACGUCGCAAGACCAAAGAGGGGGACCUUCGGGCCUCUUGCCAUCAGAUGUGCCCAGAUGGGAUUAGCUAGUAGGUGGGGUAACGGCUCACCUAGGCGACGAUCCCUAGCUGGUCUGAGAGGAUGACCAGCCACACUGGAACUGAGACACGGUCCAGACUCCUACGGGAGGC